This 4053-nucleotide long non-coding RNA is filed under the name Nicotiana tabacum (common tobacco). Its description in RNAcentral is "long non-coding RNA (NTAB_LNC004718)". The record is from RNAcentral. Lineage: Eukaryota; Viridiplantae; Streptophyta; Magnoliopsida; Solanales; Solanaceae.
ACAAACCCACUCCCUCACUUUCCAAUAUUCCAUUGUUCCUCUCCACACUCUUCAUUUUCGGAGACCAAAAAGAUCUUUCCGUCUAUACUUACUGUAAAUCACCAUGGACGCUUGUGUGCAAGUUUCAGUAAUUCGUUCAGCAAUCUAAAGAUCACCUGUUCAAAACAUUGCAACCUGAUCUGUUGGAAUGUGGAUUCUGUCGACUUCUGUCAAGCAACUCUGCAACAACAAGCAUGACCCGGUGCUCCUUCUCUGGCAUCCGCACUCAUUUUCCUGAAGAAUUCUUACAUGUAUGUCAAUUAGCCACAUUCCCAACUCUCUCCCUGUUCAGUUUUAUUUGUUUAUUCAAUAUCCUAAAUAGGAUUAGGUUUUAUGGCUAUAAAUUUUGCUUAUUACUAAGUCAUGCAACAAAAAUUAUGCCGAUUGGUUUGAUAUGAUUCAAAAUUUCAAAAGGGCAAAUGAAUCGUCAUAUUCUUCCCAGAUUCAAUUCGGGAAAGAACUCUAAAGAAGAAUGUUAAUUUUUACAUUAUGAAUGAGCGUGUCUCUGAAUGUAAUUGACAAAUUCAAAUAUAUUUGAUGAUACAUUUUUGUUCUCUCAGGGAAUCCGACAGAAGAUCAAUGUAGUGCGACCCUUAGAAACCAUUUGGUUAGGUAAAAUAGGGAACUUCCCGAUCAAGAGAAAAGAUGACGGUAUAAUAUGAAUUUACUUCGUUCAAUGGGGUCUUUCUGCAAGUUAAAUAUUAAUAGUAAUUCACUCAAAAAGUAAAAUGAAGUUAAAAAAUUAAUUGUGCUGAAGAGUUCUACAUUUCGGUAUAUUAAUGUUUAACAAUUUAGGUUUAUGAGUUAGUAUCACGUUCAACGUAAGUCAACAACAACAUACCCAGUAUAGGGUAGUGUGUAUGCAUACCCCUAUCUGACGAGGUAGAGAGGUUGUUUCCUAUCGACCCUCGGCUUAACGUAGUAUGAUACUCUGGACUAAAUAGACGCCUUUUUAAUAAACUUUAUAGAACUCUUAUUCACUCAUUUUUGUACCAAGUUUUAAUACUCCCUCUGGUUCACAAUAAGUGACCAAUUUGCUUUUAGCACGCUCAUUAAGAAAAUACUAAAUUCUAUUCAAAAAUACCUACUAUGACUAAACUACCCCUAAUUAAGCAUUUAAUGUGAGAAGUAAGAAAACUUUUUAGGGAUAUGAACAUGGGGUUUAUUUUGUAAAAACAAAUUGAAUUCUUUCUUGAUUACAUAACUAGACACUUAUUUUGAACCAAAAUGAAAAAGCAAAUUGGUCACUUAUUGUGAACCGUAGGGAGUACCUGAAGUUUUUCCUUUCAGAUCAAUAUCAUCUUUUUCAUCAUCCAUCUGUCUGCUUAGAUUCUUAUGUUAUUUUAUAUUUUCUAGCAUAUGGCUCGAGAAAUUGGCAUGUUCUCGAAGUGACUGAAACUUUGUGGUUGCUUCAGUUGUGAGUGAAAAUGCAAACCACGUUUCUCGGCCCUCCUGUACCAAUUUUAUAUGGAUCUAUCUAAAUACCAAAAAAUUUCUUUCCAGGAAUUUUCUUUGGCUUAUUAAGUGCCUGGUGCACUAGUUGUAGCAAAGAAGAACAAGGUAUACAUUCUACAGCACAAUACAACUAUUGAACGAUUUAGCUUUUAGGAAAGAAAGUCUAAUGGUCGAAACGGUUUAAGUUCUUUUUAUUUUGCAAAAACCACUUCAAGUAGUUUUAGCAAGAAGGGGAGUCCCACCAAAAGCAGUAGCAAGAACAAAUCUGAUAAGGAAAGAGCUGAAACUUCGUUAUGAUAAGCCCAGUUGAGGAGGUAAAGACUCUUCAAGAGAGCCCCUUCAGCUGAAGAGGUAAAGACUCUUCAAGAGAGCCCCUUGAGCUGAGGAGGUAAAGACUCUUCAAGAGAGCCCUUUGAGCAGAAGAAAAGCAAACAAGAUUGGAAAGACACACGUCUACCCUCAAUGCACCAAGCAAGCAAUGAUAUGAUGCCUUUUCCUUGCCUAAAUGUCUAAAUAAAAGGUAUAGCAAGUAAUACUAUCAAUUAUAUGUGGUCAUAUUGACCAUUCUAUUCUAUUUAGUCCACAGGCAAACCAAACAAUUUGAUUCUAGAUGUUGCGAUUGUUGAUAAUUGGCUGAUGUGGAGUAUGUUAAGGGUAUCUACAAGUUAAUUGGUGAUGUAUGGUAAUUUUUACUUUCUCUAUUCCUAUUUAAGUUUCCAAUUCCAUAAUUAGUGAAGAUAAAUAUUUGGGCUUCUAAUAACUGUUGUCAAAUUAGAGCAAUAUGGAAAAUACAAGGGAUUAAGUAGAUGACUGUGAAACAUCAGAAAAUAGUAGAAAGAAAUAUACACUAGCUGAUCAUCUACAAUUGUGGUGCCGGUAUUAGAUAUGCUCUAUGCUGAGCUCAUUCUUAGAUUCUUUCUCCUUUUCUCAAUUGCAUUAAGUACUGUUAAUGUGAAUUCAAACCAAUUGGAGCGUCACCUUUUCACUUCCAUUUUACUUGAUCCUUCUGCUCUAUUUCUUGGUUUUAUUUAUGCAUGAGGUAAAGUGUUAUGACAUUCAAAUCUGCUCCUAUAUUUUAUAGUUGAUAAAAAAUUAUGAUUAGAUGGAAAUGUGAAUAAAGGAUAACGUGAAAGAAAACUUGUGAUAGGUUCUAUCACCAAUUUCAUUUUUGGUAAGUCUCUCUCUGCGCAUACUUACCUACUUAAUGUAGUCAUUGUUGUUCAAUUCACUAAUCCUCUCUUGGCUUUGAUAAAGUAUCAACGAUGAUAGCAUUCUUAUUUGUAGCGUCUCAGGAAAUUUAGAAGUCUGACCAAAUUUUUAUUUACCAAAGUUUUAACAUUCUUUCCUACAUGUUGAUUUCUGAGGAAGGAAAUAUAUAUUAAGUGAAUGAAGGAUAUGCCUAUAACUAAGAUGGUCCAAUAUCCAUUUUUGUAUAAUAAAUGUGAUAAGCUCCCGAUUUCAUUAUUUAUGAUGUCUUAGUGUUCUUCAAAGAAAGAUUCUAGUUUAGUAGUAUGUUCAAAAUGUUUCUUUGCUUUACCACAGUAUUGUGUACAAGUUCCAACUUUUAGGCUUAUGGUAUAGUACUGAGUUGUAAUUUGACAUUUCUGAAAAUGCAUGUUUGUAGGGAGGAAGGAAGGGGCUUAACUUGGAGGAAGAGAAUGAUGAUAGCCAAUGGUAGAAGAAGAGGUUGAGGCCAAGAUCUAAGGAUUUGGGCCUGUAAAAUCAUGUCCAGAUGAAAAUAUCAUGUGUUAGCAGUCAGAUAGAUGACGGUUUGAGUCUUUUUACUGGUGUCUACAGGUAAGGUGUGUUAUAUGCUGCUGGACCUGUAAUUGAGAAAAGUAAAGUUUAUCAUCAUAUUAUCAUUAGGUGGUUAAGCAGAGUCUCAAGAUACUUGAUACCUCAUCUUAGUUUGAAGUAUGCAAAAGUAUUCUAUUUCAAUAUGAUCCAUUUCCUCACUAAUUUCUGAACUUUUAGUUUUGCUAAAUGUUGGCAAGGCCUAGCUUUAAUGAAGAGGCAUUAAGGAAGUUAUAGAUGCUAUAUACUCUUAAUGAAGAGAUGUAACAUGGAAAUGAAUGUAAAGGGGGACAAGUUUGCCCCUUUAAUUACAAUUUUUUUUUGUACAUUAAUGCUGAUAUAAAGAUGGGGCAAACUUAAGCUUCCUUUGAGUUAAUGUUGUUUGAUACUUUAGAGCUUUCAUCAACAAAUGAGACGCCUUAAUGUCUCUGUAAUGUGUCAUAUUAGCACAUGGACGUUGAUAUUGUUUGUAAAUAUUUGCACAUGUUAUUUGUUCAAAUGUGUUGUUCUCUGAUGCUAAGCACACCAUAACUAACAUUGCAGGUGUUGCUAGCUUUUAGCACUCCCUUGUGUUAAAUAUACAGUGGCCAAGGAGUUGAGAGAUGAUAUUGUAAAUUUCUUUGUUAUAUUAUACUUUCAGUAUGUUGCAAGUGUUAACUCGUAAAUCUCAUUGUAGACUGUAUCCUCAUUCUAUAAAUUGUAUAAAUUUCAGUGUUUCUAAGCUGAAGACAUGAAAUUCUUAUGUGCUCAUUCUACAAGUUGUAU